Molecule: long non-coding RNA, 796 nt
Organism: Passer domesticus (house sparrow)
Lineage: Eukaryota; Metazoa; Chordata; Aves; Passeriformes; Passeridae
Exons: 3
Source: RefSeq, a predicted model, not a curated record
UCAUGGGUGCUGGCAGCUCGCAGUGAAUCACAUCAUGGGAGCCAGCACAGAGAGCAGGGCUCCUAGCUGGGAUGGCUCUUAGCCCUCAUGUGGUUCCAUUUACCCAAAUUUGGGGUUACAAGCUGGGAAAGGGCAUAAUUGACUGAGCCUUAUAAAUGCCCCAAAAAGCAGGAAUUGGGUGAUUUUCAUUAUUAUUUUGAAUUGCCUUUGCCUGUGAUCAAUAAGGGUGUGGUGCUGACAGUCCCAGAUCAAUCAGUACACGAUUACCAUGUGCAGUGCUAAGAGAAUGUACAGCUCCAUGUAACAAUAGGAUCUCCAUUGAUUUGCUUUUUUUAAUCACUUCUGCAGCAAUUAUAGGUGGUCAGUCUAUUUACUUGACAUGUUUUCUAGUGAAUUCUAGUUGAAUCAUCUGGCAUUGAAUGGGCUUAUUCUUACCCAAGAGGUAAUUUACUGAAAUUGAAGAGGCAGAACUUCGGUGUCCAGCACAACAAUUCUAGCUAAAAGAAUAUGUGAGAGGUGUUACCCAUCACAACAGUGGCUGUGGUUCCUGCUGAACAUCCAGGGUGGAAACAGAAUUGAUAUGGACAAGGCUGACAAUGCAACUCAAGAAUUUUGACACUUGUAAACAAAAAAUUACGUGGGUGAAAUCUUUCUAGUUAGCACCAGGAUUCCCAUUAAGUUGCAUGGUUUGAGAAGCUGGCUCAAUGACCACUGACCUGAAGACUAAAAUUUAAAGACAGAAGAAAUGCAGAGCAAAAGGUUCAUAGUUUAAAAAAAAUAAUAACAAUUUAGCUUC